Molecule: long non-coding RNA, 369 nt
Organism: Gopherus evgoodei (Goodes thornscrub tortoise)
Lineage: Eukaryota; Metazoa; Chordata; Testudines; Testudinidae
Exons: 3
Source: RefSeq, a predicted model, not a curated record
GUGGAUAAUAAGGCAGCUUUGCAGAUGUUUACGGGGAACUCCUCCCAAGAGAGAUGGACAACAUGGGAGAAAACAUGAAGGAAUCACCACAGGCUUUGAAGUUAGGAUGGAAUACCUCUCUUGUGACAGCCCGCAUGCUUCAGCAUUACUGAACAGACUCUUAUCAGGAGGCCUUGGAGACCAGAUUUCAGGUUCAGAAUAGCUGCCCUUAUACAGAACAAUCCUUCCUCUCUGCUCCACAUAGGUCACUUCAAGAACAAAGGAAAUAAUUGUGAGUAACCGUCUGGAACACAAAACAGCCCCAGUGCUUACCCUGAUGGUGAGUGCCUGGGUUGUGAAACACUUUAGAUCUUUAGAAAAGGCUUUGCU